AACGAACGCUGGCGGCAGGCCUAACACAUGCAAGUCGAGCGCCCUUUCGGGGAAGCGGCGGACGGGUGAGUAACGCGUGGGAAUAUGCCCUUCUCUACGGAAUAUCCUCGGGAGACUGAGAGUAAUACCGUAUACGCCCUGUGGGGGAAAGAUUUAUCGGGGAAGGCUUAGCCCGCGUUGGAUUAGGUAGUUGGUGGGGUAAUGGCCUACCAAGCCGACGAUCCAUAGCUGGUUUGAGAGGAUGAUCAGCCACACUGGGACUGAGACACGGCCCAGACUCCUACGGGAGGCAGCAGUGGGGAAUCUUAGACAAUGGGGGCAACCCUGAUCUAGCCAUGCCGCGUGAGUGAUGAAGGCCUUAGGGUUGUAAAGCUCUUUCAGCUGGGAAGAUAAUGACGGUACCAGCAGAAGAAGCCCCGGCUAACUCCGUG
This 431-nucleotide ribosomal RNA is filed under the name uncultured bacterium. Its description in RNAcentral is "partial 16S ribosomal RNA". It matches the Rfam family "Bacterial small subunit ribosomal RNA", at positions 29 to 507 of the family's 1533-position model. The record is from RNAcentral.